CCCUACUGCUAUCGGGGUGGGACUAAGACAUGCUAGUCGAGCGCCUUGAGCUAUGGCGAGGCGCGGCGUACAGCUCAGUAACACGUGGCUAACCUACCCUUAGGACGGAGACAACCCCGGGAAACUGGGGCUAAUAUCUGAUAGGUGAGGAGGCCUGGAAUGGUUCUUCGCUGAAAAGGCGUUGAAACCAUGCUUUUCAGCGUUGCCUAAGGAUGGGGCCGCGUCCGAUCAGGUUGUUGGUGGGGUAACGGCUCACCAAGCCUAUAACCGGUACGGGCCGUGAGAGCGGGAGCCCGGAGAUGGGCACUGAGACAAGGGCCCAGGCCCUACGGGGCGCAGCAGUCGCGAAAACUCCGCAAUGCGCGAAAGCGUGACGGGGCUACCCCGAGUGCCGUCCGCUGAGGAUGGCUUUUCCCCGGUGUAAUGAGCCGGGGGAAUAAGGAGAGGGCAAGUCUGGUGUCAGCCGCCGCGGUAAUACCAGCUCUCCGAGUGGUAGGGACGAUUAUUGGGCUUAAAGCGUCCGUAGCCGGCUUAGCAAGUCUUCUGUUAAAUUCAGCGACCUAAUCGUUGAGCCGCGGGAGAUACUACUAGGCUAGGAGGCGGGAGAGGCCGACGGUAUUCUCGGGGUAGGGGUGAAAUCCUAUAAUCCCGGGAGGACCACCAGUGGCGAAGGCUGUCGGCUAGAACGCGCUCGACGGUGAGGGACGAAAGCUGGGGGAGCGAACCGGAUUAGAUACCCGGGUAGUCCCAGCUGUAAACGAUGCGGGCUAGGUGUUGGGGUGGCUACGAGCCACUUCAGUGCCGCAGGGAAGCCAUUAAGCCCGCCGCCUGGGGAGUACGGCCGCAAGGCUGAAACUUAAAGGAAUUGGCGGGGGAGCACCACAAGGCGUGAAGCUUGCGGUUC
Molecule: ribosomal RNA, 904 nt
Filed under: uncultured archaeon
Lineage: Archaea
Description: bacterial SSU rRNA
Rfam family: Archaeal small subunit ribosomal RNA
Source: RNAcentral